GGGUUUUCUUUUUAUGUUU
Molecule: microRNA, 19 nt
Filed under: Corchorus olitorius
Lineage: Eukaryota; Viridiplantae; Streptophyta; Magnoliopsida; Malvales; Malvaceae
Description: tca-miR-3885-
Source: RNAcentral